Molecule: long non-coding RNA, 466 nt
Organism: Oreochromis aureus
Lineage: Eukaryota; Metazoa; Chordata; Actinopteri; Cichliformes; Cichlidae
Source: Ensembl
CAGGCAGGUGUGAGCCUGGUUGCUAUAGUGACUGCACCCAAUGGCUCCAUACACACGCACAGACAUGCACCUCACUUUUGCUGCUUAAAAUGAACAGAAAAGUCAGGCCGAAACAAAUCGCUCCCAAAUGAAAAGUACAGGUCGUAUUGACAAAAUUCUUUCACCGUGAGCGGCAGCAAUGUCCAGUCUACCUAAUUCUCAGUUUUCAUGCUUGUGGAGUUUAUUAUAUGGACGUGGUGACAGUGUAAAGACAGCCUGUACUUCUGGUUUUCAAACGAACCUUCUGAGCCAUUUUAACAUUAGAGUCUAUGGAGGAGUUGGAGGGAGGAGGCUGUGCAUUGGUGACAUUUAUGAAAGAACCAUAACACCUAGUACAAUAGUAAACACAUUGGAUGAAAGAGGACAGCGAUGGCUACGUUUUGAGGGUAAAAUCAUACCUGUAGACCAAACACCGUGGACACAGCAG